Molecule: long non-coding RNA, 1109 nt
Filed under: Homo sapiens (human)
Lineage: Eukaryota; Metazoa; Chordata; Mammalia; Primates; Hominidae
Description: long non-coding RNA NONHSAT005719
Source: RNAcentral
UUUGAUGAUCUUAUGGCGGAGAAGGAAGCUGUAUCUUCAAAAUGUGUCAAUUUGGCUAAAGAGAAUCAAGUUUUUCAACAGGAGUUAUUAUCUAUGAAAAAAGUACAACAGGAAUGUGAAAAACUUGAGGAAGAUAAAAAGAUGUUGGAAGAAGAAAUAUUAAAUCUUAAGACACAUAUGGAAAACAGUAUGGUAGAACUUAGUAAACUACAAGAAUAUAAAUCAGAGCUAGAUGAAAGGGCAAUGCAGGCAGUAGAAAAAUUAGAAGAAAUCCAUUUACAGGAACAAGCACAAUAUAAAAAACAAUUAGAGCAGUUAAACAAGGAUAUCAUACAGCUUCACUAAAUAAGAAGGAACUCACACUUAAAGAUGUGGAUUGUAAAUUCUACAAAAUGAAAACUGCUUAUGAAGAGGUUACAACUGAGUUAGAAGAAUAUAAGGAAGCCUUUGCAGCAGCAUUGAAAGCUAACAGUUCCAUGUCAAAAAAAUUAACUAAAUCGAAUAAGAAAAUAGCAAUGAUCAGUAUCAGCUCUUUAUGGAGAAAGAGCAGGUGAAAUAUUUUCUCAGCACUCUUCCUACAAGGUGAGGUCGAGAGUCACCUUGUGUUGAAAAUCUUACUAGUAUAGGACUCAACAGAAAAUAUAUUCCCCAAAUGCCCGUAAGAAUUCCUACUUCAAACCUCAGACUUCAAAUAACUGCCAGAACUACUUGACUGAGAUGGGGCUGGACUGUGUAGAAUAAAUAAUUAGAGAAACAAAGAGAACUGUUGCUGUAUUGGACACUUGCUCCCAUCUACUUUCUUCUCUAGAAUCCACGGCUCUGGAAUGAGUCAUUUUUUUUAGAAGCAGAGGUGGAGCCACUGAGGAAACACAGGUGAGCCCUCCCCAGUGUGUACUCACUGGUCCCCAACAGAAGAACCACUGCCACAUCCACUGAAACUCCCAUGGUGGUGGGUUGUGUCACCCCACAAUGUCACUGUUGCUGAGUCCCCAUCGCCUCUGUGUUGUGGAGCAGUUAGAGACACACAGCAGUGUCUGUGAGUAGCUCUGCGUGAAGGACCAUUUUCUAGAUGAGAGGCACAUCUCAACACAGCUCACUGAUCAGAUUCA